AUACGGAGGGGGUUAGCGUUGUUCGGAAUUACUGGGCGUAAAGCGCACGUAGGCGGACUGGAAAGUUGGGGGUGAAAUCCCGGGGCUCAACCCCGGAACUGCCUCCAAAACUUCCAAUCUAGAGAUCGAGAGAGGUGAGUGGAAUUCCAAGUGUAGAGGUGAAAUUCGUAGAUAUUUGGAGGAACACCAGUGGCGAAGGCGGCUCACUGGCCCGAUACUGACGCUGAGGCGCGAAAGCGUGGGGAGCAAACAGGAUUAGAUACCCUAGUAGUCC
RNAcentral lists this ribosomal RNA (274 nucleotides) under uncultured bacterium. Its description in RNAcentral is "partial 16S ribosomal RNA". It matches the Rfam family "Bacterial small subunit ribosomal RNA", at positions 523 to 796 of the family's 1533-position model. The record is from RNAcentral.